This 490-nucleotide ribosomal RNA is filed under the name uncultured bacterium. Its description in RNAcentral is "partial 16S ribosomal RNA". It matches the Rfam family "Bacterial small subunit ribosomal RNA", at positions 30 to 507 of the family's 1533-position model. The record is from RNAcentral.
AUUGAACGCUGGCGGCAUGCUUUACACAUGCAAGUCGGACGGCAGCACAGAGAAGCUUGCUUCUUGGGUGGCGAGUGGCGAACGGGUGAGUAACAUAUCGGAACGUACCGAGCAGUGGGGGAUAACUAAUCGAAAGAUUAGCUAAUACCGCAUAUCUUCUGAGGAAGAAAGCAGGGGACCAUUUGGCCUUGCGCUGUUUGAGCGGCCGAUAUCUGAUUAGCUAGUUGGUGGGGUAAAGGCCUACCAAGGCGACGAUCAGUAGCGGGUCUGAGAGGAUGAUCCGCCGCACUGGGACUGAGACACGGCCCAGACUCCUACGGGAGGCAGCAGUGGGGAAUUUUGGACAAUGGGCGCAAGCCUGAUCCAGCCAUGCCGCGUGUCUGAAGAAGGCCUUCGGGUUGUAAAGGACUUUUGUCAGGGAAGAAAAGGGCGGGGUUAAUACCCCUGUCUGAUGACGGUACCUGAAGAAUAAGCACCGGCUAACUACGUG